UGAGGAAUAUUGGUCAAUGGGGGCAACCCUGAACCAGCCAAGUCGCGUGAAGGAUGAAGGUCUUAUGGAUUGUAAACUUCUUUUACACGGGAAUAAAUUGGGGGACGUGUCCCCUUUUGCAUGUACUGUAUGAAUAAGGAUCGGAUAACUCCGUGCCAGCAGCCGCGGUAAUACGGAGGAUCCGAGCGUUAUCCGGAUUUAUUGGGUUUAAAGGGUGCGCAGGCGGGAUGUUAAGUCGGCGGUGAAAUUUUGCAGCUCAACUGUAAAAGUGCCUUCGAUACUGGCUUCCUUGAGUGUGGAUGAAGUAGGCGGAAUUUGUGGUGUAGCGGUGAAAUGCUUAGAUAUCACGAGGAACUCCGAUUGCGCAGGCAGCUUACUAAGCCACAACUGACGCUCAUGCACGAAGGCGUGGGGAUCAAACA
This 422-nucleotide ribosomal RNA is filed under the name uncultured bacterium. RNAcentral's name for it is "bacterial SSU rRNA". It matches the Rfam family "Bacterial small subunit ribosomal RNA", at positions 355 to 774 of the family's 1533-position model. The record is from RNAcentral.